GAUCUGGAUUGCAGAGUAAAAAUGAUGUGGAACAGAGCUACACAAAACUACAUCCAAUAUUUAAUGAAAAUGAAAACUUAAAUAUUUGUGUGAUAACAUAUCCAAAGAUGAAAAAGCCUAAGUACAUUGUAACAGACACACUUCGCUGAAGGGCACUGCCUGAGACCUUCGUCAUCCAAGAUAAAAUAAACGACAGGCUGAGUCCUUUCAUAACCCACCCCCCCCAAUCAGGGAUUAAGCAGAAUUCUUUCAAAGAUUAAUGCAUGCUCCUGCACAAAUGUUUCAUGCUGAUUUUCGUUCUGGGAAAUGUAUUUUGCUGUGAUAGCUGGGCUGAAAGACAGUGCCCUUGGUGUCACCCCACAGCAAGUGUGAGGGGUCUGCAGAACCCUCUGUUCCUCAGCUGCACUGCCCUCUCCAGUGUCUUCAACAGACCGAACAAGUUAACACCUCAAGGCCUUUGAAUGUGUGUAGAAUGGCUUCAUCCUAGUAUCUCUUAUACAUGUAGAGGUCACCUGUGACUCUGCUCAUAUGUCAUCUUGUCACUGACUACCACAUCUAAAACUGUACUCUAACUUUUUGCUAAUCUAUCAAUAUUUUAAGUUGCCUAA
Molecule: long non-coding RNA, 608 nt
Organism: Suricata suricatta (meerkat)
Lineage: Eukaryota; Metazoa; Chordata; Mammalia; Carnivora; Herpestidae
Exons: 4
Source: RefSeq, a predicted model, not a curated record